Molecule: long non-coding RNA, 2747 nt
Filed under: Homo sapiens (human)
Lineage: Eukaryota; Metazoa; Chordata; Mammalia; Primates; Hominidae
Description: HSALNT0206745
Source: RNAcentral
CAACAACCGCCCAAGGGCUGAGGAGUGCGGGCGCACAGCGUGGGACUGGCAGACAGCUCCACCUGCAGCCCCCGGGCGGGAUCCACUGAGUGAAGCCAGCUGGGCUCUUGAGUCUGGUGGGGACUUGGAGAAUCUUUAUGUCUAGCUAAGGGAUUGUAAAUACACCAAUCAGCACUCUGUAUCUAGCUCAAGGUUUGUAAAUGCACCAAUCAGCACUCUGUGUCUAGCUGAUCUGGUGGGGACUUGGAGAACAUUUAUGUCUAGCUAAGGGAUUGUGAAUACACCAAUCAGCACUCUGUAUCUAGCUCAAGGUUUGUAAAUGCACCAAUCAGCACCCUGUGUCUAGCUAAUCUGGUGGGGACUUGGAGAACCUUUGUGUCUAGCUCAGGAUUGUAAACGCACCAAUCAGCACCCUGUCAAAACAGACCAAUCAGCUCUCUGUAAAACAGACCAAUCAGCUCUCUGUAAAAUGGGCCAAUCAGCAGGAUGUGGGUGGAGCCAGAUAAGGGAAGAAAAGCAGGCUCUCCGAGCUAGCGGUGGCAAUCUGUUAGGGUUUGUGUCUGUCGUGUGGAAGCUUUGUUCAUUCGUCUUUUGCAAUAAAUCUUGCUACUGCUCAGUCUUUGGGUCCACACUGCUUUUAUGAGCUGUAGCAGUCACCACGAAGGUCUGCAGCUGCACUCCUGAGGCUAGCGAGACCACGAACCCACCGGGAGGAGCGAACGACUCCAGACGCGCUGACUUAAGAGCUGUAACAGCUUACCGCUAAGGUCUGCAGCUUCACUCCUGAGCCAGAGAGACCAGGAACCCACCUAGAAGGAACAAACUCCGGACAUGCCGCCUUUAAGAGCUGUAACACUCACCGCCAGGGUCCGCAGCUGCAUUCUUGAAGUCAGUGAGACCAAGAACCCACCAAUUCCAGACACACUGUCAUCAAAAAGUGGGAUAUCUUUUUAAACAGAGAUAACAUUGCAGAAUCUUGGAGUUGGAAAUAGACCUCAGCUGGGGUUUAGUCCUGUUUUCUCCUCAGAGCAGAAGUCCUGGGAUGCCGUUCUGGACUGAUUGUCAGUUUUUUCUCCUGUCCUUGAGCUAUUCUAAUGCCAGACAUCUGUGGCUUUACACAGCCAGGCUUUCAGUUAGAGAACUUGGUUAGCUCAGGUCAACAAAUGCUGCUCUGAGAACACUGACUCCCAUGUGGGGAGACUCUGCACCUGGAGCUCCGGGAGAGCCGGCUCAGGCCUCUUCCUGCUAUCCAGGGAACUGCAGUGGCGUUGGAGGGCCUUGCUGGGGCUGGGGCUGGGGAGAAGGGAUUCCAACCCUACUGAUAAUUCGUUUGGAAACACCGGGCUGUGGAUUUCAGAAGUUCUUGGGCAGCCUGAUUACCACUGGCAGUGAGCCGGGGACGAAGCCGAAGCUAUGAGUGACAGACGGAAAGAACUGGGGGCUUUGGUGAACCAGAGAACACUUAGCUCCUCCAGCCCUGAAGCAGGCGUCACCGCAGGGCUUAUGGUCCUAAGAGCCACUUAGUUUCCUUAUUCAUUAAACUAGUUUAAUUUGGGUUUUCUGCAUCCUGGAGGACACCAAGUCGGUGUGCGGAGGGACCCUGUAGACACGUGUGCAAAGAAUAAGCCGACGAUCAUGGAAUUUCUGAUGACGCCACUGACACGUGGGAUGGAGGCCUCCUUCCCAGGGCACCCCUACACUCAUGACAAUGAAUCCUGGCUCUUAUUCACCCCUUUGGAUUUCACAAGCAAGUACGGUAUGGCACUUUGAGGUGAAAUAUGGCUCUAUUUAAUGUCACUGGUUUCUUGAAGCUCUGAGUUUUCUGGGACCACAAGUUUUACUUGAAGAUGUGCAGGAAUGUAGAUAGCCAAAUGCAUGUGGCCAUCCCAAGACCUAUGUGUUCUUGGAAGAUUUUGCCAAUGUUUCCCCCCAAUUUUGCUGCAGCACGAAACAUUUCUGAAGUUCAACUUCAGGGAUUAUAUUGAGGAUCACUUUACACGUCACAUAAGAAAAUAACUUUCUUCUUCAGCUUAGGAGUCAAUUGUGAUAUUGAUAGGAUUUUUAGCACCUCUCUUGGUACAAAAGAGGAAGGAGAAUUAAGCCUAUAGUGCAGGCAAAUAAAUGAUUGCAAUAAGGAAAUCCGUGGACCAACCAGAAUGUGGGCUUCCUCAGUGACUACAGAAAUUACCAGGAAAAUGGAAGAGAAAUGGGCCCAGGUAAUGACAGUGCUUUCAAGCUGUCCCAGUCAAUAAAAAUGCUUGAUAAAUGGUUUCUCAGCCUUGCCAUUGGGAAAAGGAGAGAAGGAACUACUCUGGCUGUUACUCCCUACACCUUCCUUAUCCCCAGUACUGUGGCCCAUGCCUCAAGUUCUGUGGACAAUAAGAAACAAACAGCAACAAAACAUAUCAACUCGAGCUUUUGGACGUGAGGGCCAGAUAUAUGGUUGAAGCCUGGAAAGCAAAGGGAAUAAAGAAAUAAAAAGACAUAAAAUAUGAACCCACAUGUCCUCUAAAGUCUUUAUGUUUCAGAAUAAUCCUUUUUGUUUCUUUAAAUUCCAGAACCUGUACUCCCUUCCUUUUUCCCUCCUAAGAGUACAGGCCUGAAGGAGCUAUAGGUGAGCUUUCUGAAAAGAAGCACCCUCUGCUUUACAUUAUGGCCCUGCAAUAGGAACGAGCUCUCCAGUGGGCACACAAACCCAGGCGCGGUCCCCAUGAGGUCACUCUUCUGCUUGGCCUCCACCAUGAGCC